ACUGCGGUAGUGUAGUGGUUAUCAUUUGUGCCUUGCAAGCAAGACGACCCGGGUUCGAGUCCUGGCCGCAGUG
This is a non-coding RNA of Schistocerca gregaria, 73 nucleotides long. Lineage: Eukaryota; Metazoa; Arthropoda; Insecta; Orthoptera; Acrididae. The record is from the annotation of a RefSeq genome assembly.